UACCAGUGAGGCACCAUGGCUUCUCAGCUUCUUGGGCUGGCAGAAGAGUCUGGCCUGAGCCCUGGGGAGUCUGAGCUGGCAGUGAACCCCUUUGACGGGCUCCCCUUCUCUUCUCGCUACUACGAACUGCUUGAGCAGCGCCGAGCCUUGCCCAUCUGGGCUGCUCGCUUUAUCUUCUUGGAGCAGUUGGAAAGUAGCCCCAGUGGAGUUGUGCUGGUGUCUGGAGAGCCUGGCUCUGGCAAGAGCACCCAGAUCCCUCAGUGGUGUGCAGAAUUUGCGCUGGCCAGGGGGUUCCAGAAGGGCCGGGUAACUGUCACUCAACCCUACCCUCUGGCAGCCCUGAGCCUGGCCCUGCAGGUUGCUGAUGAGAUGGACCUGACCCUGGGUCAUGAGGUUGGCUACAGCAUCCCCCAGGAGGACUGCACUGGGCCCCACACCCUGCUCAGGUUUUGCUGGGACAGGCUGCUGCUUCAGGAAUUGGCUUCAGCCCGGGGCACUGGAGACUGGGAUGUGCUGGUGCUGGAUGAGGCUCAGGAGCGGUCAGUGGCCUCAGAUUUGCUCCAGGGGUUGCUGCGAGAUGCCAAGCUGGGAAACCUCCCGCAGGACCCCAGAGUAGUUGUGGUUACUGACCCAGCCCUUGAGCCUAAGCUCCAAGCCUUCUGGGACAAUCCUCCUAUUGUACACGUACCCAGAGGGCCUGGUAGCUGUCCUACUCCCACCUACAUGGACACUGUCCCUGCUGAUCGAGUGGAAGUUGCCUGCCAGGCUGUGCUUGAAUUGUGUCGAAAGGAAACUCCAGGAGACGUGCUAGUGUACCUGCCCAGUGAGGAGGAAAUUUCCCUGUGCUGUGAAUCCUUGUCCAGGGAGGUAGGGACCUUGGCUAUCCAAGGGCCUCCACCACGGGUGAUGCCCCUUCACCCAGGCCAUGGUCAAGCUGUUCAGGCUGUGUACGAGGAUACACACUCAGGUGCCCGAAAGGUUGUGGUCACUCACUGGCUGGCUGACUUCUCCUUCUCCCUCCCUUCCAUUCGACAUGUCAUUGACUCAGGACUGGAGCUUCGAAGUGUGUACAAUCCUCAGAUCCGAGCAGAAUCCCAAGUGUUGAGGCCAAUCAGCAAGUGUCAGGCAGAGGCAAGACAACUGCGGGCAAGAGGGACCACCCCAGGAUCCUGCCUCUGUCUGUAUCCUAAGUCCUUCCAAGAACUAGAAGCUCCCCCACUGACCCAACCCAGGGUGUGUGAGGAGAAUCUGAGCCCCCUCGUAUUACUGCUAAAGAGGAGACAGAUUGCAGAGCCAGGGGACUGCCACUUCCUGGACCGUCCUGCUCCAGAAGCACUGAUGCAGGCCCUGGAAGACUUGGACUAUCUGGCAGCCUUGGAUGAUAACGGGGACCUGUCAGACCUGGGGGUCAUCCUGUCAGAGUUCCCUCUGCCCCCUGAGUUGGCCAAAGCCCUGCUGGCCUCCUGCGAGUUUGACUGUGUGGAUGAGAUGCUCACCCUCGCUGCCAUGCUCACUGCUUCCCCUGGGUUUACCCACCCUCCACUCUGUGCAGAAGAAGCUGCCUUACGUCGAGCCCUGGAACAUGCAGAUGGUGAUCACAGUUCUCUGAUCCAAGUGUAUGAAGCCUUUAUACAGAAUGGAGCAGAUAAAGCUUGGUGCCAGGCCCGGGGUCUAAACUGGGCAGCACUGUGCCAAGCCCAAAAACUUCGAGGAGAACUCCUAGAACUUAUGCAACAAAUUGAACUUCCCUUGUCCCAACCAGCCUUUGGCUCUGAGAAGAAUCGCAGAGACCUUCAGAAAGCACUGCUGUCUGGAUACUUCCUUAAGGUGGCCCAAGACAUAGAUGGGACUGGAAAUUACCUGCUCCUAACCCAUAAGCAUGUGGCCCAGCUCUCCCCACACUGCUGCUACCGAAGCCGCCGGGCUCCAGCCAGGCCUCCACCAUGGGUGCUUUACCACAAUUUCUCCAUUUCCAAAGACAACUGCCUUUCCAUUGUUUCUGAGAUUCAACCACAAAUGCUGGUGGAGUUGGCCCCUCCAUACUUCCUGAGUAACCUGCCCCCCAGUGAAAGCAGAGACUUCCUGAACCAGCUGAGGGAAGAAAUGGCAGAUUCUUCAACAGAGAAUGAAUCAUCCUCCACCCAAGAGUUUGCACAUGCCUGUGUCCUGCAGUGACCUGCCUGAGGGAUGGAGCAGAACUCAUCUCAUUGCAUGCAGUCCUCCCUCCGUCUAGCCCCAAGGCAACCAGCCAGAUUUAGAAGCCAAAAAUUUAGGGUUGAAUAUAAAUUUUGGAACCUGAGUCUCAAGAAAUGGUGGACUGGGAUGGAAAGGAAUCUGAGCUACAAAGCCGGCAAGCUGGUGCUGUAUCUGUGACUCCAUCGACCUGGCCAACAAUGUUUGACCUGACUUGAAGAUCCCCAGAGACUCUGCUCCACCCAACUUACAGGUCCCCCAAGCUGCUCUUCCAUUUGAAUGACUGGUCUUGGCUAAUGCUUCACAACUUCCUA
RNA transcript from Phyllostomus hastatus (greater spear-nosed bat), 2507 nucleotides. It is a transcript of the gene named DEAQ-box RNA dependent ATPase 1, with no coding region annotated. NCBI's taxonomy places the organism in Eukaryota, Metazoa, Chordata, Mammalia, Chiroptera, Phyllostomidae. The record is from RefSeq and is a predicted model, not a curated record. The transcript has 12 exons.